CAUGAUCUGGACUUUUACUUUGAGGAAAUAAGAGUGUUUCAAGCAGGCUUUUGCCGUGAAUAUGAUAGCAUGGAAUAAUAGCACAGGACCCCUUUCCAGAGCUGUUGGUUUUUGGAACGAGGUAAUCAAAAUAAGGACAGUUGGGGGUAUUCGUAUUUAACUGUCAGAGGUGAAAUUCUUGGAUUUUUUAAAGACGAACUAUUGCGAAGGCAUCUGCCCAGGAUGUUUUUGUUGAUCAAGAACGAAAGUUAGGGGAUCGAAGACGAUCAGAUACCGUCCUAGUCUUAACCUUAAACUAUGCCGACUGGAGAUUGGAGUCGUCAGUUUUUGACGGCUUCAGCAUCCUGAGAGAAAUCUAAGUCUUUGGGUUCCGGGGGGAGUAUGGUCGCAAGGCUGAAACUUAAAGGAAUUGACGGAAGGGCACCACCAGGAGUGGAGCCUGCGGCUUAAUUUGACUCAACACGGGGAAACUUACCAGGUCCAGACAUAGAUAGGAUUGACAGACUGAUAGCUCUUUCUUAAUUCUAUGGGUGGUGGUGCAUGGCCGUUCUUAGUUGGUGGAGUGAUUUGUCUGGUUAAUUCCGUUAACGAACGAGACCUUAACCUGCUAAAUAGUUUACAGAACUUCGGUUUUUGGCUUACUUCUUAGAGGGACUUCGUGUGUUUAACACGAGGAAGCUUGAGGCAAUAACAGGUCUGUGAUGCCCUUAGAUGUCCUGGGCUGCACGCGCGCUACACUGAUGCAUCCAAUAAGCACCUAACCUGGUCUGAAGAGAUUGGGUAACCUUUGCAACGUGCAUCGUGAUGGGGAUAGAUUAUUGCAAUUAUUAAUCUUGAACGAGGAAUUCCUAGUAAGCACAAGUCAUCAGCUUGUGUUGAUUACGUCCCUGCCCUUUGUACACACCGCCCGUCGCUCCUACCGAUUGAAUGAUCCGGUGAAUAAUUCGGACUGGGAAAUUUUUAGUUUCUAUUCUUUUCACGGGAAGUUAAUAAA
This 994-nucleotide ribosomal RNA is filed under the name uncultured alveolate. Its description in RNAcentral is "SSU rRNA". It matches the Rfam family "Eukaryotic small subunit ribosomal RNA", at positions 738 to 1763 of the family's 1831-position model. The record is from RNAcentral.